UACGUAGGGAGCAAGCGUUGUCCGGAAUCAUUGGGCGUAAAGCGCGCGUAGGCGGCCCUGUAAGUCCGUUGUGAAAGUCAAAGGCUCAACCUUUGAAAGCCGAUGGAUACUGCAGGGCUAGAGUCCGGAAGAGGCGAGUGGAAUUCCUGGUGUAGCGGUGGAAUGCGCAGAUAUCAGGAGGAACACCAAUGGCGAAAGCAGCUUUCUGGGACGGUACUGACGCUGAGACGCGAAAGCGUGGGGAGCGAACAGG
Molecule: ribosomal RNA, 253 nt
Filed under: uncultured bacterium
Lineage: Bacteria
Description: partial 16S ribosomal RNA
Rfam family: Bacterial small subunit ribosomal RNA
Source: RNAcentral